This 393-nucleotide ribosomal RNA is filed under the name uncultured Microsporidia. Its description in RNAcentral is "SSU rRNA". It matches the Rfam family "Microsporidia small subunit ribosomal RNA", at positions 1 to 405 of the family's 1311-position model. The record is from RNAcentral. Lineage: Eukaryota; Fungi; Microsporidia.
CACCAGGUUGAUUCUGCCUGACGUAGAUGCUAGUCUCUAAGAUUAAGCCAUGCAUGUCUAUGCAAUAAGGACGAACAGCUCAGUAGAACUGCGAUUAUUUAGUCUGUUUGAUAGAGAUAACUACGUGAAAAAUGUAGCUAAGAGAGAACAGAAUAAGACGCAGGACUAUCAGUUAGUUGGUAGUGUAAUGGACUACCAAGACGAUGACGGGUAACGGGGAAUCAGGGUUUGAUACCGGAGAGGGAGCCUGAGAGAUAGCUCCCACGUCCAUGGACGGCAGCAGGCGCGAAAAUUGCCCACUCUUUGUAGGAGGCAGUUAUGAGACGUGAGAAUGAAUAUUCAGUAAAGAUGAAUAGGAGAAUUGGAGGGCAAGUUUGGUGCCAGCAGCCGCGG